CCUACGGGAGGCAGCAGUGGGGAAUAUUGCACAAUGGAGGAAACCCUGAUGCAGCGACGCCGCGUGAGUGAAGACGUAUCUCGGUAUGUAAAGCUCUAUCAGCAGGGAGGAAAAUGACGGUACCUGAUUCAGAAGCCCCGGCUAACUACGUGCCAGCAGCCGCGGUACUACGUAGGGGGCAAGCGUUAUCCGGAUUUACUGGGUGUAAAGGGAGCGUAGACGGCAGCACAAGUCUGGAGUGAAAUGCCGGGGCUUAACCCCGGAACUGCUUUGGAAACUGUGCAGCUAGAGUGCAGGAGAGGUAAGUGGAAUGCCUGGUGUAGCGGUGAAAUGCGUAGAGAUUAGGAGGAACACCAGUUGCGAAGGCGGCUUACUGGACUGUAACUGACGUUGAGGCUCGAAAGCGUGGGGAGCAAACAGGAUUAGAUACCCGUGUAGUC
This 440-nucleotide ribosomal RNA is filed under the name uncultured bacterium. RNAcentral describes it as "partial 16S ribosomal RNA". It matches the Rfam family "Bacterial small subunit ribosomal RNA", at positions 338 to 795 of the family's 1533-position model. The record is from RNAcentral.